AUGGCAUCUCGAACAAGAACCACCACGUCUCUCCUCAUCUUCGUCCUCGCCACCACGGUUGCCACGUCUACAUCGUCCACAAAUGCUGCCCCCACUCCGCCGUCACCAAAGGCACCGCCUCCCCCACCACCACCACCAUCGCCGCCGCCGUGCGUGGUACCACAGUCGGUCGCAGCGUUCCUCCGCGCGCGAUGCGCCACCACGCUAUACCGAGUGACCUGCUACAACACUCUCAUCCCCUACGGCUGCGUGUUCCAGACAAACCCUGUCAAGCUCGCCAGGGCCGCCGUCGACCUCAACGUGGCCCAGCUCCGCGCCCUCUCCACGCGCGUGAAGGAGGUUGUUGCCCGUGGCGGCAUGGGCCAGCCGGGAGGACCUGCCUACGCGGUGCGGGACUGCGCGGGUACGGUGUCAUCGGCGGCCGGGCUGGCCAAGAAAUCGGGGGACGAGAUCGACAAGCUCGAGGCGGCGGGUAGCAAUGCGACCGUGACUCAGGUCAGGUGGGCGAUCUCCAACGCACAGACGUGGCUCAGCGCGGCCAUGGCCAACGAGGCCACAUGCACCGAAGGGCUCGCCCCAUGGGGGGCCGCCGCCGUCGCGAAGGAGCUUGUUGCCCGGACGGUGAUUGCCAUGGAGAGCACGAGCGUCGCCCUCGCGCUGGUCAAUGGCAUGCCACGCUAA
This 681-nucleotide ribosomal RNA is filed under the name Triticum aestivum (bread wheat). RNAcentral describes it as "partial small subunit ribosomal RNA". The record is from RNAcentral. Lineage: Eukaryota; Viridiplantae; Streptophyta; Magnoliopsida; Poales; Poaceae.